RNAcentral lists this ribosomal RNA (443 nucleotides) under uncultured bacterium. Its description in RNAcentral is "partial 16S ribosomal RNA". It matches the Rfam family "Bacterial small subunit ribosomal RNA", at positions 338 to 795 of the family's 1533-position model. The record is from RNAcentral.
CCUACGGGAGGCAGCAGUGGGGAAUAUUGCACAAUGGGCGAAAGCCUGAUGCAGCAACGCCGCGUGAAGGAAGACGGGUUUCGGCUCGUAAACCUCUAUCAACAGGGGCGAAAGAAAUUACGGUACCUGAAUAAGAAGCCCCGGCUAACUACGUGCCAGCAGCCGCGGUAAUACGGAGGGGGCAAGCGUUAUUCGGAAUUAGUGGGUGUAAAGGGUGAGUAGGCGGGACGGUAAGCCAGAUGUGAAAGCCUUGGGCUUAACCCGAGGAGUGCAUCUGGAACUAUCAAGCUAGAGUACAGGGGAGGAAAGCGGAAUUCGUAGUGUAGCGGUGAAAUGCGUAGAUAUGAGGAAGAACACCAGUGGCGAAGGCGGCUUUCUGGACUGAAACUGACGCUGAGGCACGAAAGCGUGGGGAGCGAACAGGAUUAGAUACCCUUGUAGUC